This 452-nucleotide ribosomal RNA is filed under the name uncultured bacterium. Its description in RNAcentral is "bacterial SSU rRNA". It matches the Rfam family "Bacterial small subunit ribosomal RNA", at positions 29 to 521 of the family's 1533-position model. The record is from RNAcentral.
AACGAACGCUGGCGGCAGGCCUCAAACAUGCAAGUCUAGGGGGUGUAGCAAUACAUCACCGGCGGACGGGUGCGUAACACGUGGGAAUAUACCUUUUGGUUCGGAACAACGCAGGGAAACUUGCGCUAAUACCGAAUGUGCCCUUACGGGGAAAGAUUUAUCGCCAAAGGAUUAGCCCGCGUAGGAUUAGCUAGUUGGUGAGGUAAUGGCUCACCAAGGCUCCGAUCCUUAGCUGUUCUGAGAGGAAGAUCAGCCACACUGGGACUGAGACACGGCCCAGACUCCUACGGGAGGCAGCAGUUGGGAAUCUUGGACAAUGGGGGAAACCCUGAUCCAGCCAUGCCGCGUGAGUGAUGAAGGCCUUCGGGUUGGUAAACUACUUUCGUACGGGGACGAGUAAUGACGGUACCCGUAGAAGAAGCUCCGGCUAACUUCGUGCCAGCAGCCGCGGU